GUUACAGGUACGGUGACAUGGUUCCGAAAACGAUCGCGGGAAAAAUCGUUGGGGGUGUAUGCUCUCUCAGCGGUGUCCUUGUGAUCGCUUUACCGGUGCCUGUUAUCGUCAGUAAU
Molecule: regulatory RNA element, 116 nt
Organism: Melipona quadrifasciata
Lineage: Eukaryota; Metazoa; Arthropoda; Insecta; Hymenoptera; Apidae
Rfam family: Potassium channel RNA editing signal
About the family: This family represents a group of sequences related to the human potassium channel Kv1.1 hairpin element which directs the efficient modification of an adenosine to inosine by an adenosine deaminase acting on RNA (ADAR). The ADAR modification causes an isoleucine/valine recoding event which lies in the ion-conducting pore of the potassium channel.
Source: Rfam